This 97-nucleotide ribosomal RNA is filed under the name Comamonadaceae bacterium CG2_30_60_41. RNAcentral describes it as "partial 23S ribosomal RNA". It matches the Rfam family "Bacterial large subunit ribosomal RNA", at positions 2838 to 2925 of the family's 2925-position model. Lineage: Bacteria; Pseudomonadati; Pseudomonadota; Betaproteobacteria; Burkholderiales; Comamonadaceae. The record is from RNAcentral.
UUCAAGACCAGGACGUUGAUAGGUCGGGUGUGUAAGGCGUGUAAGCGCUUGAGCUAACCGAUACUAAUUGCUCGUGCGGCUUGACCCUAUAACUUUG